This 216-nucleotide long non-coding RNA is filed under the name Elaeis guineensis (African oil palm). RNAcentral describes it as "long non-coding RNA (EGUI_LNC031454)". Lineage: Eukaryota; Viridiplantae; Streptophyta; Magnoliopsida; Arecales; Arecaceae. The record is from RNAcentral.
AGCAUUCUGUAGGAGAGGAUUGCUUUCUCCAGUCGAACAAACCCUUCGGCUGUCGUUUUCGUCGUAGACAACUGGAAUCCAUUUGAUUGGGCGGCCCAAAUAGAAAAGAUAUGGCCCUCAGGCGACCCCAUUUAUUGUCUCAAGUGGUAGAUGAUUGCAAGAAAAGGCCGGGUUUCCCAGUCCUGCCGCCCUGCCAGCUAGUCGUAAAUGAUCCCA